This 416-nucleotide ribosomal RNA is filed under the name uncultured bacterium. RNAcentral's name for it is "bacterial SSU rRNA". It matches the Rfam family "Bacterial small subunit ribosomal RNA", at positions 28 to 424 of the family's 1533-position model. The record is from RNAcentral.
GGCGAACGCUGGCGGCGUGCUUAACACAUGCAAGUCGAACGGAGCACCCUUGACUGAGGUUUCGGCCAAAUGAUAGGAAUGCUUAGUGGCGGACUGGUGAGUAACGCGUGAGGAACCUACCUUCCAGAGGGGGACAACAGUUGGAAACGACUGCUAAUACCGCAUGACGCAUGACCGGGGCAUCCCGGGCAUGUCAAAGAUUUUAUCGCUGGAAGAUGGCCUCGCGUCUGAUUAGCUAGAUGGUGGGGUAACGGCCCACCAUGGCGACGAUCAGUAGCCGGACUGAGAGGUUGACCGGCCACAUUGGGACUGAGAUACGGCCCAAACUCCUACGGGAGCAGCAGUGAGGAAUAUUGGGUCAAUGGGCGAGAGCCUGAACCAGCCAAGUAGCGUGAAGGAUGACUGCCCUAUGGGUU